RNAcentral lists this unclassified non-coding RNA (355 nucleotides) under soil metagenome. RNAcentral describes it as "partial contains 5.8S ribosomal RNA, internal transcribed spacer 2, and large subunit ribosomal RNA". The stretch from base 1 to 120 matches the Rfam family "5.8S ribosomal RNA", at positions 35 to 154 of the family's 154-position model. The record is from RNAcentral.
GAUGAAGAACGUAGCGAAAUGCGAUAAGUAGUGUGAAUUGCAGAAUUCAGUGAAUCAUCGAAUCUUUGAACGCACAUUGCGCCUUCUAGUAUUCUGGGAGGCAUGCCUGUUUGAGCGUCAUUAAACCUCUCUCAAGUAUGAUUACUUGGAUGUGAAGGAAGAGUACCUUAAACUUAAGGAGUGUUCUCCUUUGAAAUUGAUUAGCAGAUGGUAAUGUUAUUAAAUCCCUGAUGUUGUAAGAAAUAACAGUGGUUUUGUAGACUAUUAUCUGGCUUUAAAUUAUAAUUUUUAUUAUGGUUGACCUCAAAUCAGGUAAGGAUACCCGCUGAACUUAAGCAUAUCAAUAAGCGGAGGA